RNAcentral lists this ribosomal RNA (1453 nucleotides) under Weissella confusa. RNAcentral's name for it is "bacterial SSU rRNA". It matches the Rfam family "Bacterial small subunit ribosomal RNA". The record is from RNAcentral. Lineage: Bacteria; Bacillati; Bacillota; Bacilli; Lactobacillales; Lactobacillaceae.
ACAUGCAAGUCGAACGCUUUGUGGUUCAACUGAUUUGAAGAGCUUGCUCAGAUAUGACGAUGGACAUUGCAAAGAGUGGCGAACGGGUGAGUAACACGUGGGAAACCUACCUCUUAGCAGGGGAUAACAUUUGGAAACAGAUGCUAAUACCGUAUAACAAUGACAACCGCAUGGUUGUUAUUUAAAAGAUGGUUCUGCUAUCACUAAGAGAUGGUCCCGCGGUGCAUUAGCUAGUUGGUAAGGUAAUGGCUUACCAAGGCGAUGAUGCAUAGCCGAGUUGAGAGACUGAUCGGCCACAAUGGGACUGAGACACGGCCCAUACUCCUACGGGAGGCAGCAGUAGGGAAUCUUCCACAAUGGGCGAAAGCCUGAUGGAGCAACGCCGCGUGUGUGAUGAAGGGUUUCGGCUCGUAAAACACUGUUGUAAGAGAAGAAUGACAUUGAGAGUAACUGUUCAAUGUGUGACGGUAUCUUACCAGAAAGGAACGGCUAAAUACGUGCCAGCAGCCGCGGUAAUACGUAUGUUCCAAGCGUUAUCCGGAUUUAUUGGGCGUAAAGCGAGCGCAGACGGUUAUUUAAGUCUGAAGUGAAAGCCCUCAGCUCAACUGAGGAAUUGCUUUGGAAACUGGAUGACUUGAGUGCAGUAGAGGAAAGUGGAACUCCAUGUGUAGCGGUGAAAUGCGUAGAUAUAUGGAAGAACACCAGUGGCGAAGGCGGCUUUCUGGACUGUAACUGACGUUGAGGCUCGAAAGUGUGGGUAGCAAACAGGAUUAGAUACCCUGGUAGUCCACACCGUAAACGAUGAGUGCUAGGUGUUUGAGGGUUUCCGCCCUUAAGUGCCGCAGCUAACGCAUUAAGCACUCCGCCUGGGGAGUACGACCGCAAGGUUGAAACUCAAAGGAAUUGACGGGGACCCGCACAAGCGGUGGAGCAUGUGGUUUAAUUCGAAGCAACGCGAAGAACCUUACCAGGUCUUGACAUCCCUUGACAACUCCAGAGAUGGAGCGUUCCCUUCGGGGACAAGGUGACAGGUGGUGCAUGGUUGUCGUCAGCUCGUGUCGUGAGAUGUUGGGUUAAGUCCCGCAACGAGCGCAACCCUUAUUACUAGUUGCCAGCAUUCAGUUGGGCACUCUAGUGAGACUGCCGGUGACAAACCGGAGGAAGGUGGGGAUGACGUCAAAUCAUCAUGCCCCUUAUGACCUGGGCUACACACGUGCUACAAUGGCGUAUACAACGAGUUGCCAACCCGCGAGGGUGAGCUAAUCUCUUAAAGUACGUCUCAGUUCGGAUUGUAGGCUGCAACUCGCCUACAUGAAGUCGGAAUCGCUAGUAAUCGCGGAUCAGCACGCCGCGGUGAAUACGUUCCCGGGUCUUGUACACACCGCCCGUCACACCAUGAGAGUUUGUAACACCCAAAGCCGGUGGGGUAACCUUCGGGAGCCAGCCGUCUAAG